Molecule: long non-coding RNA, 573 nt
Filed under: Prunus dulcis (almond)
Lineage: Eukaryota; Viridiplantae; Streptophyta; Magnoliopsida; Rosales; Rosaceae
Description: sRNA ncRNA
Source: RNAcentral
GCCGAGUGGUACUGGUAUAUAAGAAAGCUGUUGGCUUUCGAAGAAGAGCACUCAGCAAAACCAAGUUGUAUUGUAUCUCUGUAACUUCACAAGACAAAGAAGAAGAGAUAAAGAGAGAUGGAGGGUGCCACGGCUACUGCCGGGAGAGCAAUGAUGAACGGUGGAGAUUUGUCCAGGAGAUUAUCUGGCCGUCCGAUUCCGAAGAGGGGUCAGGUGAAGAUGGGAAUUGUGGUGGGAUUAGCCAAUUCUGUGGCUUCCAUCUUUGGUCCUCACCGCCGUCCAUCAAUGCACGCCCAGUCAAGGAACAACUCCUAGAGUUACUAAGACUUAGACGAAACUCAGAGAGUGAUUAGGCAUGAAGUUCUGAGCAUGUAAUGGAUUUUAAUGUUUGUACAUUGUAGAAUUUGCUUCAAAUAUAUAUUGAAAUGAGAAUUUGUUCAAUCAUUUCAUUUGAUAUUGAUACAAUAUUAUUUAUUUAUUUGGUACCCAGAUAGGUAUAUUGUUCAAAAAUUUGGCUGGUAUUAAAUCUUAAACCCCUACAAAAAGAAGCCGGGAAUUUGAGACUAAAAUUGG